Molecule: long non-coding RNA, 4950 nt
Organism: Corythoichthys intestinalis (scribbled pipefish)
Lineage: Eukaryota; Metazoa; Chordata; Actinopteri; Syngnathiformes; Syngnathidae
Exons: 5
Source: RefSeq, a predicted model, not a curated record
GUUGAUGCAGGUGGAUGACAUAGCCAGGAGGUGGCAGAGGGAGAAGAGGAGGUUGUGGUGGCACACGGGCAAAGCAUCCUGGUUCCAGUCAGACACGGCGUUGAAAAUAUUGAGUGGCAGCCAGCAAAGCGCGAAGGCCGUGAUCAGGGCCACCAGCAUGAUGUUGAUGCGACGGCUGUGACUCAUGCGCUGGCUCUCCGGCGUCCUGGCACGGUCUAGCAUGUCUUUGCGGUGACGCAGGCGCACGUACACCCGCACGUAACACAGCAGGACGAGAAUCAAAGGGCCGCAGUACUGGAAAAGCAGAAGCCACGUGGUGUAGGUCAGCCGCUGAUGCUGGGAGGGCCAGUGCUCAAGACAGGCUUCCAUGUGCAAGGACGUGUAAAGGUUGUGAUAAUGGAGUAAAUUGUGAGGCACGGACGAGUUGGCGAGCGAGACGCGAUAGAGGGCAGGCUGGGGCGGGAUCACGUUGGCGUAGGGCUCGUUCGUGAGCAGCUGAAAGGCCAGGAAAGGAGAGGAUGUGAAGCAGGCUAGAAUCCAGAUAAUGCAGACGACCGCAUAGGCUUGCGGAAUGCUGGGUUUCCAGCCAGCCGGGUUUAUAAUGAGCUGGUGUCUCUCGAGGGCAAUAAAAACCAGCGAGAGGAUGGAGACGGUCACGGACAUGCAUUGAAUGAAGGGCACCAGGCGGCACAGCAGUGACCCGAACACCCAGUGGUCCAUGAGCGUGUAUAUGAGUGUGAACGGGAGGCAGAAGACACAUACCAGAAUGUCAGAGAAUGACAGAUUGCAGAUGAAAAUGCUGGUGACGUUGGCUUUCUCCCGGCGCCGGGUAAUUAUGCAGAUAAGGCCGACGUUGCCCACUAGGCCCAGCACCAUUGUGACGCUGUACCACGCCACCAGAAAGGCCGUGAGGAUGGGAGACGUGUGACAUUGCUCGUCGUGGCCGAGACCUGACAAGUCUGCGAGCAGAGUCUCAUUUGAGCGAUCCUCCUCCCACGGCGGUGACGGUGAAGACGACACGUGGAUGAGGGGAGACGCAGAAGGGGGCGGCUGGCUCGUGUUGCCGCUGAAGGACAUGUUGCCAGGAUUUAAGGGUCUCCAACCACUGGGAUCAAGACAUCCAUUUUAACCCUUAACCGGUCAUCGGCAUCUGAGAUGGAGGGGGGAAAACACUACAUCAAUUACAGGCUGAAAAGCAAUACUCUACAUCAGGGGUGCACAAGUCCGGUUCUCGAGAGCCCCUAUCAAGCUUGUUUUCCAUGUCUCCCUCCUCCUCAGACACGGCGCUCCGCAUACGCAUAACACGCACUGCGCGUAGGGCACCAACUCUGCCUGAAGGGGCACCCCAAAAAAUCAAGUUUGUAAAAAAAUAGUAAUUGUAAUAAUAACAACAAUAUAUAGUAUUUAAAAUAAAACUUUGUAAAGCCUGAUAAAUGCAAGUAAUACAAAUAUAAGUAACAUAGGCUCAUUAUUUACACAAAAAAAAGAAUCUCCUGUGCGGCCCUCUUGUCAGUCUACCUUUGGUGCCCCCCGCCAAUUCCCUAGUGGUUUGCUCCAUUAUGCUUCAGUCGCAAAUUUGGCAGAAGUUUAUUCUUGAAAGGAAAUGUCAUCGAAAAGACAACAGGAGUCGGGGGCGGAAAAAAGGAAGAGGAAAAAGCAGCGAGAUAAUGCCCGCGCAUCACUUGCAGGCGAAAGAGCGCGCAAGGACAGGCACGCAUUCCGCUCGACUUUGAGGGCCUGACAUCGACGGGUUAUGUUAGAGACGUCCUCCUCGAUCAGCUGGCACAGGUCGACGGAGCUCCAAUGGCUGAGAGAGCGGGAGGGACAGCCAGAGGCAUGAACAGACCCCUCCCAGAUGUGUGAAUCCACAGAAAGGAGUUGGAGAAGGAGCAGAUCGAGCAUCCUGAGGAGCGGAAUGCUUUAGUGAGAGGCAGAGCUGAGAGGAGUUUGGCUAUUAUUGGGCUGAUGGAGCCCUCCGGCUUUGCUGAGACCCUCAGUGUAACGAGCUCUGCUGUCACACUGUGGUGAUUUUAUUCAAUUGCAUCACAGAACCAGUUGCAAAAUUGAAAGAAAGAAAGAAAGAAAGAAAGAGAGAAAGAAAGAAAGGAAAGAGGAUGGCAUGCGAGGCAAGUGGCUCAACUUCACAACAUUUAAAGCUGUAGUGUGAACUAAUUUCUUCACAUGCCAAAUAGGGUCACAAGUAAAGUAAUUAAACAUUGUCCACCAAAUAAAGCAUGAAAAAAUCAUUUAUAUGUUGUAUAUUUGACAAAAUAAUCGCGUUUCCGAAGUUCGAGCCUGAAAGGAGACGAACCCGGAAGUGAUACGUCACACCGGGAACAGCGUUGGCAGCUCCAUACAUACGGCCGCCAUACAAAGCCCUUCAAACAAUGAUUCAAACAGCGAUAUAAGCGAUUGACCGAGCGCAAGGGAGGAGAUCCAAGUUUUUGAAGAGUUGGAGGAAGAAGAGGAGCUUGGAAUUUUAUGUUGGAUCUAACAUGUAUUAGCCAGACGCUAAUCAGAAUGCAAACAGUGUGCCUAUACUACCUGACAUGGAAUAGAUACAAGACCCAUCGAGAUUACAACAUUGGUAAGAUAUAGGCUGUUAUUAUUUUUAUGAUUUGAAGAUGCAGGCAUUUGCACAUAAUGUUAUGUUUUUGUCUAUCUGAUGACAUUGUUAAAAAAAAUAAUAAUCAGACUUCAUGUUCAUUUUGGCAGAUCCGGCAGCUCUCGUGCAUAUAAAAUAAUAAUAUAAAAACGUUGGGGGGAAAGAAGGAGAUGAGUCUCCGAUGGCUUUCUCCACUUUAUUGUGGCAACAAUAAGAAAACAAAAUAAUAGCGGACUGCCGCCACAUUCGACCGCAAAGUUUUGCUUCUCGCCAAUCUCCUCCUCGCCUCCCACUCCAGCGUCUCUUAAACGGAUUGUGCAUAGUGUCUUGUUAUGAGCUUUUUGUUUACAAAUGUAUCGAACACACGACGCGCUGACAACCUUGUCUCUUUAUUAACACAUGAAGCAGUUCUUAUGGAAAAGUUAGAACACAGCUCGGCACAGCUCUCGGCAGGGAUUGGCGUCUAAUGGCGUGAGGAAAUGUAGUUUUUUCACACAAGCGAACAGAUUACAAAGCACCACUUCAGUGUUGUCCCGAAACUAUAUUUCCCAUGAUUCACUGCGUGACCUGCGCGCUCGCUGAUUCACUGCGAGAUUGACUCAAUGGCUACGCUAAACCAACACGCUAUUUUUCAGCUGUCACCUGUCAGCGGCUCUCAUAAAACACAAACUAGAAGCCUAUCAUGCGAUAACCGUGAACGCUGAACCGUCCAUAAGCAAUGCAAUGCUUGAAGCAUGAAGGUGGAAAUACAUAAUACAAAUACAAAUAAAUGUGCACAAACUAACCGGCUGUGUGUGUCUCUUACAGCAACGUGACCGUGAAUUACCGCGACGCCGACCCGUUUAUAUGCACAUCCACACCCGUUUCCCGAUUGACAGUGGAUUAACCCUUUCGGACAUGAUCGUAGAUGAAGCACAAUUUAAACACGCUUAACCUAGCGAACGCAACAACAACUAUGAUCGGGGAUUUCCACGAGUUAACUUUCGGCUAACGUCGCUAGCUUAUACUGUUCAAUUCCACAACAAUAGGCAGCUAUGCUUUGACAAAGUCAUCAGUCAUCUAUCCAAAAAUCACACUUACUUUUUGGCAAAUCCUUGAUCAUAAGCAGACCGGUUAAGGAAGCAGGCAUCUUCGAAGUGUUUGCAGCAGAGAACACUACUCGAUGAUGGUGUGAAAUUCAUUCGCUUCGUGCGAACGAAAGAUGUCCAUUUACGUGCCCUGCUAUCCUUUGGCCACUCAUACAACUUUUCGUUUGAGCGAGAACAAAACAUCGCCACACACCGCUGUGGCAUCUUACCAAGAAGCAAUGCAACAAACAAUACUGUUCUAUGGUGGACUUCCCUCGCAUGUCUAGGUGUGACGUAAUUUCCGAAGAUUUCCGAAGAUUGCCGAAGAAAAGCAUUUUCGUUGUCAAGGGCGUUGCUAUGGGUUAAACAAAGAAUCUGGAAGGGUUGCGUUAAAAAAAAUAAUGAAAAUAUGCUUAUAAUUGUUUAGCCAUUGAUAUUAUUCAAAAACAUGGUUGGCCAACCUUACUUCAAAGUUCCCCUUUAAAGGGCAGAUGAAGAGUAUGUCGAUGUACUGUAGUUUCCGUACGGUAAGGCCACCUUUAAAAAGCCUUCAAUUUUCUCAAAAGCAGACAAUGCGCCUUAUAAUCCGAUUCGCUUUAUAUAUGGAUUGAUAUUGGUUCAUGGCAUGACAUUCCCGUUAGCGCAGCUUCAUCCAGUGCAGUCCUUCUCAAAUAAUCGGGCGCGCCCCCCCAGGGGGUGGGGCAUGUGACCUCGGGGAACAUACUUUUUUGCAGUACUAGAAUAAAGUGCAAUUGCACAACCACUUAGUGGAUGGCAGUGAUGCUCUCAUUUUCAGAGUGUGCGCAGUAUUUUUGAACCAAACAAGACCACACAGCGAAGAGCACUGGAGAUAUGAAAAGCUAAGAAGAAGAAAUAUGACGAAGCGUAUGUAGCGUUUGGCUUUUAAUACAGUGGGAUAAUAGGAAAGACCAGUCCGUUUACUGUCUAAAAAUGUUUGCAGUAGACAGCAGGAAGCCAAAUCAAUGAAGACAUCACUUAAAGACAUUAGACCUCAAUAACAUUGAUAAGCCGCUUGACAAGCAAAAUAUUGCCAACAAUCGUCCCGCUUUGUCAGUGUUACGUCAGUAAACCAGCGAGCACUGUUAGCAUAAUAUAAAGUGGCAUACCAAGUUGCUCAGUGCAAAAUAAUCCCACAUCACAGCAAAAGAGCUGAUGCUGCUUGCAGCAAAAUUAAAAACUGUCCUUUCGUCCAAUGACACUGUCAUUUUUGUUGUAUUAAUAUUUUGAUUUUUCGGUCAAAUUGUUUGACGUAUUGUU